Molecule: long non-coding RNA, 1663 nt
Organism: Prionailurus viverrinus (fishing cat)
Lineage: Eukaryota; Metazoa; Chordata; Mammalia; Carnivora; Felidae
Exons: 4
Source: RefSeq, a predicted model, not a curated record
GAGUGAGGGAGGGGGGCUGGGGAGAGGCGCUUUGUCAUUCAGUUGCUGCCCUGGGUCAGAUUUUCCCGCUCGCCGCCCAAACCCUUUGUUUUACGAAGAGGCAGCACUUGUGUGUAGUUACCAAAAAUCUUAACUGAGUUCAACCUAGAAAGGGAAAAAGGCCGACUGGUUCCGAAUUUUUCUGACACUCGGCCUGGAAGUGCUCUGCUUUUGCUUUUUAAAGAGAUUUGAAGAAGCCAAAGCAACCGCGACUAUAAGAAACUUAGUUUUAAAUUAAAUAUAUGGUACUGCCGUUUAGCUGAAAUCCUUCCCCAGGGCUCUUUUAUUCUCCUGUUAAAUGUGGGAGCCAGACCGUGAUCUCCAAGGCGCCUUUCAGAUCUCCGAUCUCUGACCUACAGCCAACUGGUGCAUCCCAAGAGUGAGUGUCCUAGGCAACAAAGGAAGAAGCUGCAGAUCUAAGGCCACACAAGUUACACAGAACCACUUCUGCUGCAGUUUUCUAUCUAAAAUAUAUCAGAGAACCAGCCAAAAUACAAGGGAAAGAGUAAAAGAUUCUGCCUCUUUUAGGACAGUGUCAAAGUCACAUCAAUGGAAAGAAUUUACUACACACGGCAUCUAAGGCCACCAUUGGACCCACGUUUCAACCAACCAAGCAAACCUUUAACCACUCCCAGAUGCUUAGGCAAGCAUGAUGAAUCCAUGGUCUUUGCUUUUAAGUUUGCUACUAAAAAAUUAAAAAUUAUGUAUAUGGCUCACAUUGUAUUUCUACUGGAUGGUACUGGUCUAGAGAUAUAAAGAAGUGAUAGCAGUGAAUUAUGGGGAGAAUCAGGUACUCUUCACAAGGUUAAUUCCUCAGAUGAAGUAAUUUCUGAAUUUUCAAAGAAGACAAGACCAGCUUUAUAAGAUAGAGAAGGAAGACUUCUUCAGACAGCAAAGAGCUCUUUAGGGUCUAUCAAGAUGAUAGAAUUAUCUAAGUACACUCUAACAGGUUAUUACAAUUCUCAAGAUCCAACUUCUCAAUCAAUGUCUUAAUUUUUUACCUAAAAGACCUAGUGAGUCUGUUUAUUCAACUUACCUUGGAGUUCAGUCUUUGACAGCAUUAAUAAUUGAUUUGGAUGUGUCAUCCUAGCAACCCAUAGAGAUAUAUUUCUAAGGAAAUCAUAGAAGCUCUCUGGACCUCUGAGCUUGUAACAUUUUUAAGCAUCUUAGUGCAUUAUAAACAGCAAAACCACCCCUCAAUCUUUGUAUUCUUCAUUUCUGCCAUUCCCAUGAAAGACUUCCAUCAGUAACUACUUAAUUCCUGAAGCCUACAGGCCACUUUUAAAUUCAUGUUUAAUUUAAAUUCAAUAAAGUGUGCAGAUAUUAAGUGUUCAGAAUAUGAGUUUUGACAAUUAUACACACCCAUGAAGCCACUACCUAAAACAAAAUCUAGAACAUUUACAUGAACCCAGUAAGUUUAUUUGCAUUUCUUUCCAGUCCAUUAACCAAAACUACCUUCACCCCCAUCACACAUGCAUACUCUAAGACAACCACUUUCUAACUUCUGCAAUUAGAUGUUAAUUUGCUCAUUCUUGAUUUUCAUAUACAUGCAAUCAUACAAUACAUAUUCCUUUGCAUCUGUCUCCUUUCACUCAAUACAUAUGUUUUUUUAGAUUCAUUUAUG